RNAcentral lists this transfer RNA (74 nucleotides) under Candidatus Wildermuthbacteria bacterium RIFCSPHIGHO2_02_FULL_47_17. Its description in RNAcentral is "tRNA-Gln". It matches the Rfam family "tRNA". From Rfam's summary of the family: Transfer RNA (tRNA) molecules are approximately 80 nucleotides in length. Their secondary structure includes four short double-helical elements and three loops (D, anti-codon, and T loops). The record is from RNAcentral. Lineage: Bacteria; Candidatus Wildermuthiibacteriota.
UGCGGGGUGGUGCAAUGGUAACACGCCUCUCUUUGGAAGAGGAAUUCUUGGUUCGAAUCCAAGCCCCGCAGCCA